CAGAUCCACAUAUAGUGGGUAGAAGCUCUGUCUACCAUGCAAUUACAGCCAGUGGAAAGAUGGAGACUGUGCAGGCUCAGAUGUUUAGGAAAGGGAGAAAAGCUGUUCAGGUACCACUUCUGAAAAUCAUUGAAGUCCAACAGAAAGACAAAAGUCUGGAUCACCAGUGAUGGGCCAGGAUGCAGAGGAUGACAUUCAUAUCUUUAAUGUCUGACCAAGCUAUAGGAGCUCUAUAAUGCCUGCUUCAGCUGUCUUCAUGGCCAUUGGAACAAUUUGUUCUAAUUAGCCCAUUCUGCAAGGAGAAAUCUUCAUAUGCUUGGAGUAGACAUCCAUCCUCAAUCAUUGACAGUGACCUUCAACUUGGCUUAGCUGAUCAGCUGAGAUGGUUUUAUUGGGAUGUGACCACUAUAUAUGCUACAGCUUCCUGGAGCCAAAAAUUAGUUAGGUUACAAGUAGACACUAAAGGUAGAUGAGCAGCCCUAAAAAAGACUUGAUAAGCCUUCAUACCAGAGGUAUUAGUUCUCCCAGAGCACCUUAUACACCCCCUACUACACAGACACAAAUAGAAUAUUACCUAGUUUUCUUCUGAUAUAACAGAAUUAGAGUGCAGAGACAUGUUACAUAUAAUACAUGCAUGUGUAAUAGAAUCCACAUGUAUACUUAUAUGUAUUCACAUAUCAGGUGCACAUGUACCUGAUAUAUAGCUAAUGCAUAUGAUAAAGAACAUAUUUUCUCUGGCAUAAUGUAUAUAAAUGUGAACAUGCAUGCAUAUUAAUGGUAUGUAGAGGGAAUUUGUCUUAUUUGCCUGUGAAUAUUUAGUACAAGAAAGUUGUCUUUCUUUUCUUUUUCCCAUGAGGCUGAUGAGGAGAUGAGGAGAGAAAAAAAUGUAUUAAUUAAAAGAAAUAAAAAGUUGAAGAGAUUGUACAGAUAUGAAAUAUAUUUUCAGAUGAAGUCAUUAUAUUGUUAAUUUUACUUUAAUGAUUUACUUUUUUGCAAGAGACUUCUCAUGAAGUAGGAGUAAUGUGUAAAUGUUGGUAACACAAGAAUAAAAUACAUAAAUAAAACUUAAAAUUUCAAGGAAUCACAAAGUAAUUUGAAUAAUGGUUCAAGUUCUUAUUUCAACACAAGUUUUCUGACUACAGAUCUAUUGCUUCUACUGUAUCACUACCAUAUAUCCUUCUAUUGUAACUAUUUUGAGAGUCAAGAUUCAUUUGAAUGCUUAUUUAUUAAAUAUUGUUUUGAAAAAUAGUUGUUACUUUCUGUUUUUACUCAUAUUUACAUAUAUGCCAUAUGUAGCAAUUAAUGUUCAAUAAGAGGCUAAUGCCUAAACACAGUGUGUCGUAGGAGACAGAGGACUGGAUUUGGAAUCAGGAAGAUCUGGAUGUGAAUUCUGUGCCUGACAAUUAUUAAAUGUAUGACCCAGGGCAAAUUAACAAUUUUGACCUUUAAUUUCUUCACAUCUAAAAUGAGGACAAUAAUACCAUCUACCUCUAAAGGUUAUUGUGAUAAUGGGAUAAGAUAAUAUGCAUAGGGAACAUGGCAGACCUCAAAGUAAUAUUAAGAGAAUUUUUGAGCCAUUGAUGUUAUUUUAACAUUAUUUGGAAGGACUGACUAAUAUAAAUUUAAACUGAAAAGGGGCACUCAUCUGCUUGAACUAUGAAAUUUUUGAUUAUUAGUUCAAUCAGGAAGGAUGCAGUUAUGAAAUUAGAAGGGCAUUUAAAAUUUAAGUGAAUAUAUUCUGCUCUUUUGAUUUACAUUAAUUAUUCACCUCAUGCUAA
This is a long non-coding RNA of Sarcophilus harrisii (Tasmanian devil), 1778 nucleotides long. The record is from Ensembl. NCBI's taxonomy places the organism in Eukaryota, Metazoa, Chordata, Mammalia, Dasyuromorphia, Dasyuridae.